AUGGGAAGAGGGGGGAGUGGGAAUCCCACUCCCCACUCCAAAAUUGGGUGGGACCCACAGAUUCCCACUCCCACUCCCUCAUUUUUUAAGCUAAGUAAACACUGGAGUGGGAGGAAUCCACACUCCACACUCCCACUCCAGAAAGUAAACACUGCCUACAUGCAUUUAUUUCCAUUCGUGCUUGCAUUAAAUCUUACGCAUACUUUUCCAUACAUUAAGUUCUUCAGUGAGCAUGCAUUUAAUAAUGAUACAUGCUUAUCAAAAUGAGCCUCUUUAGCUUCUAAUCCUUUAUUUGUAGUUACUAUAUCCUUAAAUUUUAAUUAAAAAUAAAUAAAAUAAAUAUUCAAUGUAUGUGAAUCAGUAAUGUAUGUAUGCAUAUUAGGAUUUAGUGUUUUAGACUCGACUCAUCUUUUAGAAUGAUUGGUACUCUACUAACUUGUUUCACAAAACAUUGAAUUGUUGGCUAAAGUCUCCUAAGUAGGCCUAGCUAGCUAAGAAUUCAAUGCAAAUUGAGCCGUACUUUAGUGUAUUUAUAUUUUCUAAACCAUAGUCCACAAUGAUUUUCCUAACACAAUGGCUUGGGUCUACCAUGAAAUAUGUUCCUUAUUGGUUGAUUGGACUUUUUGAUUAAUAAAUGUAAUUUAUAAAAU
RNAcentral lists this long non-coding RNA (650 nucleotides) under Citrus x clementina. RNAcentral describes it as "Citrus clementina (C. clementina) long non-coding RNA (CCLE_LNC004700)". Lineage: Eukaryota; Viridiplantae; Streptophyta; Magnoliopsida; Sapindales; Rutaceae. The record is from RNAcentral.